UACGGAGGGGGCUAGCGUUGUUCGGAAUUACUGGGCGUAAAGCGCGCGUAGGCGGACCUGCAAGUCGGGGGUGAAAGCCCGAGGCUCAACCUCGGAACUGCCUUCGAUACUGCGGGUCUCGAGUCCGGGAGAGGUGAGUGGAAUUCCUAGUGUAGAGGUGAAAUUCGUAGAUAUUAGGAAGAACACCUGAGGCGAAGGCGGGUUGCUGGGCUGACACUGACGCUGAGGCGCGAAAGCCAGGGGAGCGAACGGG
RNAcentral lists this ribosomal RNA (253 nucleotides) under uncultured bacterium. RNAcentral describes it as "partial 16S ribosomal RNA". It matches the Rfam family "Bacterial small subunit ribosomal RNA", at positions 524 to 776 of the family's 1533-position model. The record is from RNAcentral.